AGACCUCUUACUUUUAAAGGAUA
RNAcentral lists this transfer RNA (23 nucleotides) under Phrynosoma orbiculare (mountain horned lizard). RNAcentral's name for it is "partial tRNA-Leu". Lineage: Eukaryota; Metazoa; Chordata; Lepidosauria; Squamata; Phrynosomatidae. The record is from RNAcentral.